GACAGAGGUGCCGAGCGUUAGGCGGAAUCACUGGGCUUAAAGCGUGUGUAGGCGGGUCGUUAAGUGUCUUGUGAAAUCCCCCGGCUCAACCGGGGAAUGGCUGGGCAUACUGGCGAUCUUGAGCAGUCUAGGGGCAGAUGGAACAAGUGGUGGAGCGGUGAAAUGCGUAGAUAUCACUUGGAACGCCAACGGUGAAGACAGUCUGCUGGGGACUUGCUGACGCUGAGACACGAAAGCGUGGGUAGCAAACAGG
This 253-nucleotide ribosomal RNA is filed under the name uncultured bacterium. RNAcentral's name for it is "partial 16S ribosomal RNA". It matches the Rfam family "Bacterial small subunit ribosomal RNA", at positions 524 to 776 of the family's 1533-position model. The record is from RNAcentral.